GGGGCUUCCCAGAGGAGUACAGCUAACUCCAGGGGAACCACAUAGAACCUUGUCUGCAUCAACAUCCUUAUCACCACCAACUGCCCAAGGACUGCUAUGUACAGCAGAGCCCCCCGAUAUGUCCUAGAGCCGACUCAUACCCUUAGGCUGCCCUAAAAAUGGCCAAGAGUCCAUGGAUCAAACAGAAGAACCCAGCCCAUCCCAAGAAAGGUGACUCGACUCAACCUACCAACCUAUUCAGCCAGAAGAAUUCCUUUUCAGAAGCAGAUUGGGAAACCAAUGUUUUCCCGCUGUGGAACUAUCACUUUCACCUUUCCAAGAGGACUCUGACAAAAGUUGCUAACCCACUCUUCAGAACCUUUGAAAUUCAUCUUCCUAACUGAAGGGAGGUUUUCCAUUGGGAAAAAAAUGGUUCAUUCAAAAUAAGAAUAAAUGGGUUCGGCGUCGGCGUCGCUCCGCGCGGCGGGGCUCUAGGCCGAGGUCUCACCGCGAGCUGCGGGUGAAGCGCUGGCAGCUAAGAGCACGCGAGGAGGCGCCACCCGUUUGGCGUUGGUUUUGGCUCCGGCGUCGUUGUGUCCUGACAACCGCUCCGGUAACCGGUUCCGAGACAGUGGGUGCGGCCGCUUUAGCCCUGAGCGGGCUCCACAGCUGCCUGCGGGUCUCUGCUAGUGCCGGACCCUUUCGUAGCAGACCCUAGGCCGAGCUGCGACCCUGAGCCAAGAGAGGGAGCCCCGGCAAUGGCGGCCUGGACAACCUCGCACCGGUCAAUCAAGGGGAUCCUGAAGAACAACUUCCUCUAUGGUGGCGUCUGCCGAACAGCCCCACGGGAGUGUGGACUAGGAGCUGAACAAAAAAUCCCGGAAGUGGGAUGAAAUGAACAUCCUGGCAACAUAUCAUCCAGCAGACAAAGAUUACGGUUUAAUGAAAACAGAUGAACCAAGCACUUCUUCCCAUCGUAUUAUGGGUGAUGAUGAAGAUGCAUGUAGUGAUACAGACACCACUGAAAACAUGGCACCAGAUAUCUUAGCUAAGAAAUUAGCUGCUGCUGAAGGCGUGGAACCAAAGUAUCGGGUUCAGGAACAAGACAACAGUGGAAAGGAGGAUAGUAACCUCUCACCUGAAGAACAAGAAACAAAAGUGACAAUUUGAAAUGAAAAGGAAGCUUCAUUACAAUGAAAGACUCAAUAUCAAACUAGCUAGACAGUUUCAAAAAACCUACGUGAUGAUGACGAAGAUGAAAAAAUGUUAGAGACUGCAGAUGGAGAAAGCAUGAACACGGAGGAAUCAAAUCAAGGAUCUACUGCAAGUGACCAAGAUUGGUUCAACGCUGUAAUUGUUUGUUAGAUAUAAACCCUGUUACUAUAAUUGCUUCUUGUUCUCCACAAUUCAUGACUUAAGUACCAAAAUGCAUACCAGUUAUUAUAUACUGCCAAAAAUUAAAUGAUAAACUUAGAGACUGAUUAGACUGAAAAUGCCUAAUAGAUGUAUAUAUUCUUGUGCCUAGUACUUUACCACCAAUACAGUGUAAUAUCAUCGGUCCAAAAUUGCAUUAAUUUUGUAAAUACACUGGUUAAUUUGUAUUAGAUAUUAUAUAGCUUUUAUGCUUUAGAGGUUAAACAAUAUAUUUGGGGGAAACUAUUUUCAUCACUCUAAAUGUGGUGGUAGCUCUUAUAAAGUUUGUCGGCUUUUUUUUUUUUAAUCAAAAGCCAACUGAACAACAGGACAUAUAGACUGAUAAAUAUUCAGGCUGAAUAGUAUUUUAACACUUGUCUUCAACUUCAUUUGUCUGUUUAAUUGAAAAGGAUUAUAAGAGUUACCGUUGCAUUUUCUGGCCUACUACCUUUAAAACUCCUGUUGUGUUUCUUUGUAUUUACAAGGAAAGGACUGAACUUUUUCUCAUCAAAACUGGCUUUUUUCCCACAAAUAAAUUAUCAGGUUAAACUUGCACUAAUGUCUGCUCUGUUUUUUGUUUUGGUUUUUUCUGUUUUAUGUUUUUGGUACACUGGGCAGACUUCAGAGCAACUUUUUUUCAAUAAAUAUUCUAAAGUAGCUAUCUCGGCAUUCCCUUUAAAUACCUGUCUUAACCUCCUGCUUUUAUUUCUUACUCCUUUCCACACAUACGCACACAAUCCUUUACCUUUUAAAGGAUCAUUAAGAUUACAUUAGGAACUCUUUCUGUCACUCUUCUGUGAUUUGCUGCAAUAUUGAAAUUCUUAUUUUGACCAUCACUGCCUAUUCAUUCUUCUAAUACAUGAAGAAAAUAGAUUAAGUAGCAGCAGUACUAUAGGCAGGAAAUACAGUUUAACUGCUAAAUUUCUAUACCUCUCUGAUUUACAGCUUGCUAAUUAAAUUGCUAUUAUUAGUUUGUUUGGCUUAGACUUAAGAAAACAACUAACUGAGGGUUUUUUUGUUUUCUGGGUUUUUUGUGGUUUUUUUUUUGGCAUGAGGAGAGAAUUGUGGGUAACCAGUGAUAUGAUUAUUACUGAAUGUACAGACAGAAGUAAGCCUGGACAUUGUUUAAUUUAAAAACUUUAAACAGUCACUGCCUUAAGGGAAUAUUAUAAUAUAUACUAUGACAAAUGUACAUUAUUCUUCUACACAGUAAGAAUUACUUGGAAUAUUUUCCUGAAAUGAAGUGCAGGAAAGCCCUGUGUGUCUUGGUUUAGUGAUGGUUUCAUUUCUAGCCAAUUAUUUGUAUCUUAAUUUUUUGUUAGUACCAAAAUAAUCUGUUAUAUGAACAGACUUUUAAAAUAAUUUCUGUAUACUAUAUAUAUAAGAAAGCUUUUAUUAAACAGCUUAUCUUCCACUUGCAAGUUUAUGGAAAUAUCAGUAUGUCAAAAUAAAUAAAAAGUGAGAGAA
Macaca mulatta (Rhesus monkey) is the source of this 2859-nucleotide non-coding RNA. Lineage: Eukaryota; Metazoa; Chordata; Mammalia; Primates; Cercopithecidae. The record is from RefSeq and is a predicted model, not a curated record.